RNAcentral lists this ribosomal RNA (425 nucleotides) under uncultured bacterium. RNAcentral's name for it is "bacterial SSU rRNA". It matches the Rfam family "Bacterial small subunit ribosomal RNA", at positions 407 to 824 of the family's 1533-position model. The record is from RNAcentral.
AAAGAAGGCUUUUGGGUUGUAAAAUUUUUUUGUUAGGGAAGAACAAGUCCCAGAGUAAAUGCUGGUACCUUGACGGUACCUAACGAGAAAACCCCGGCUAAAUACGUGCCAGCAGCCGCGGUAAUAAGUAGGGGGCCAGCGUUGUCCGGAAUUAUUGGGGGUAAAGCGCGCGCCGGCGGUUCUUUAAGUUUGAUGUGAAAGCCCACGGGUCAACCGUGGAGGGUCAUUGGAAACUGGGGGACUUGAGUGCAGAAGAGGAGAGUGGAAUUCCACGUGUAGCGGUGAAAUGCGUAGAGAUGUGGAGGAACACCAGUGGCGAAGGCGACUCUCUGGUCUGUAACUGACGCUGAGGCGCGAAAGCGUGGGGAGCAAACAGGAUUAGAUACCCUGGUAGUCCACGCCGUAAACGAUGAGUGCUAAGUGUU